GGGGGGAGCAAGCGUUGUUCGGAUUUACUGGGCGUAAAGGGCGCGUAGGCGGCCAGCACAAGUCAGUUGUGAAAUCUCCGAGCUUAACUCGGAAAGGUCAACUGAUACUGUGCGGCUAGAGUGCGGAAGGGGCAACUGGAAUUCUUGGUGUAGCGGUGAAAUGCGUAGAUAUCAAGAGGAACACCUGCGGCGAAGGCGGGUUGCUGGGCCGACACUGACGCUGAGGCGCGAAAGCUAGGGGAGCGAACGGGAUUAGAUACCCCGGUAGUCCUAGCCUUAAACGAUGAAUGCUUGGUGUCUGGGGUUAUAAAGUCCCCGGGUGCCGUCGCUAACGCUUUAAGCAUUCCGCCUGGGGAGUACGGUCGCAAGACUG
RNAcentral lists this ribosomal RNA (373 nucleotides) under uncultured bacterium. RNAcentral's name for it is "bacterial SSU rRNA". It matches the Rfam family "Bacterial small subunit ribosomal RNA", at positions 527 to 896 of the family's 1533-position model. The record is from RNAcentral.